Long non-coding RNA from Tupaia belangeri chinensis (Chinese tree shrew), 1703 nucleotides. RefSeq lists it as uncharacterized. The transcript is spliced from 5 exons. The record is from RefSeq and is a predicted model, not a curated record. Lineage: Eukaryota; Metazoa; Chordata; Mammalia; Scandentia; Tupaiidae.
CUCACUAGAGACAGACAGAGACAGAGACAGACAGGAUGAGGAGGGGUAUGGUCAAACCAAAAUCCCUUCACCUCCAUGUCUCGCUCCCCUCGAGAUUUGGGGCAUAUGCACAUGACACGCCCAGGAGGUUCCUCAGGCUACCAGGUCUAAGACUGAAACCUUGUGUUUAGCCAUUUUGGGAUCCAGCUGUCUUAUGCACCAGGCCAUGGAGUUAGCCCUCUACCCUGCUUUACAGGCACCCAAGUAUCCUUUGAUAACCUGAUCUCCUCUCGACCACACCUUGAUGCUGGACUAAGCCAUUGGUCUGCUCUCCCUGAUCCCGCUCCUAAUAGCGCUGGCUUGAAACCCACACGGUCUGAGAGCAGGGCAGAAAUGUGUCUGUGAAAGCACAAUACAGAAGACAUAAGUGUGGACUAGCCCCUCAGGAGUCAGGAAGGGGAAAGAUCACCCUACCGGGUGGGGAAGGAAGGCUGUGGGCCUGCAAGUUGGAAGGCUGAACUCCAAGCACCCACAGGGCCUCAGAUGACCAGCACAGAGCCUUUUCUUCCAUGUGUUACCCCUGAACCUGCCUUACUGGUGUCACAGACAGUGCCCAGAUCCUAAAAGGAACUUCCUUCAACUCUUCAUAACUUGUCCCCAGAAAUGUCUGCAGCCCACUCCUCCCCAACUGUCCUCCAAAGGCCCAGACCACUCAGUCAGGAAGGAAAGCUACCAAAUAUACUUCAGUUAUCCUCAAUAAAAGAACUUCUACAGGAAGGCAGGAGGCGCUCAGCCCUGCACUCAAGAACUGCAACCCUUCUGGUGCUCACAGGAGUCCCACCUCCUGUCUGAAGUUCCUGCUGGUUCCUCACCCUGAAUCAACCAGCAGGUUUCUGGCACUAGGACCCUGCAGACAGGGAGCCCUGAGCCUGCGCUCUACCGAGAGAGAUGCACCAUUUCACAACUUCAGCAAAAACCAAAGCCGCCAACAAAGCCACAGCCACCUCAGCUGUGCUGGGCUCUGCCGUUUGGGCAGCUCGCAGGCCACUCCCCAGAAGCAGAGCGUUCUGUCCUGUCUCUUUUUAAAUGCACGUCAUCGUCUGAUCAUAAUGGAAAUCAAUCUCCUCAAGCCACCACGCAAAGGCGUAUCCAUGGCAACCUCAAGAGGAAGGACACAGAGCCUGGCUGCAGCAGGGAAAGCAAUCGAGACUACUGAUCUUUCCUGGCUUCCUAGACAACACUGCCUCUUACCCGGCACACCACUCCCCAUCGGAGACACUUUCUCCCAUCCUUCUCUCUCUCUCUCUCUUCAGGCCCUAUAGCAAAAACCUCUCCAAAAAAAAGAAAAUGAAGACAAAUCACUCUUGGAUGCCUCACCCAUAAAACAAGUAGCUUGGAUUUUGCAGUCCAUCAAGUGAAAAAUGGCAAACUCUCUCACAGCUCUGCAACUCUCACUCCCUUACGUAAACCAGAGGAGCGAGCGGACAGCAUGGAUCCAGGCUCUCCUGACUGUGAUGAACAAAGAUUUCUCAACCAUGUGCCCCAGGGAAACCUGUCGUGGGUACGGGUUCCGGGACGCCUAGGACGCUCCCAGGAAAGGAGGGGAACCCUCGCGGUUCUGGAGGAACUCUGAGGCGCGCUCUGACCCCGGGGCACACGGCCAGGCUGAGAGCUCAGGUGGGUCGGAGAAGCCGGCGGUCCAGCACUCGGGCGGAGUCCUGGGA